Molecule: long non-coding RNA, 1317 nt
Organism: Chinchilla lanigera (long-tailed chinchilla)
Lineage: Eukaryota; Metazoa; Chordata; Mammalia; Rodentia; Chinchillidae
Exons: 6
Source: RefSeq, a predicted model, not a curated record
AAGACCAGCCACAUGUCAAGUAUGUCCUACAAAAAGAUACCAUGAACUAAGCAGCUUUGUUCUACCAUGCACUGUCUGCCUUGAUGUUAUUGCCUUGGAGCUAGCUGACCAUGGACUGAAUCCUCUGAAGAUGGGAAACUCAAUGUUGAAUUCCUUUACUCUCUUGGACUGUAUUCUUAAGCACUGGAAAAUGUUCAACUUGUAUUUUGAGGAGGAGCUGUUUAAUAUUUUUCUGCAUCCAUGCAUGGCCUGCCUAUUCCCUGGAGGUGAAGUGCAAUGCAGAGAGAAGUGUUGAUUAUAAAGCUAUUUUACAACUGGAGCUAUACUGUAAGAGAGAGAAAAUGGUCAAAGAGUUCAACAGCUGAGGUUUGAAGACCAGAGCUAGAAAGACAACUGGGCUAAAAGGACUGAAUAUUUUGUCCCUGCACCUCUAAGACCAACAAGGACCCAGGACAUAGGUGGCUUUUUCUAGAGGAUCCUACAAUUUUGUAAGGUGGUGGUGGAAGUUAACAGAUACAAAGCAAGCACCCAACCCACGAUGUACAACACAAGUCACCAGGAGAGCUACAUAAAACCAUGUAGCACAGAGCAUACUGUGGCACACAGAAGUUAGUUCUGUUAGGUUCAAGGGAAGGCUCAGUUUGUGCUUGUUUUGCUUGUCUCUUAUUCUGUUAUGAACAUACCAGUGAUGAUUCAUUAGCCUGUGACAUACCAACUUCACAGGAAGACCAAGCUGCAGCAGCUACUCUAGAAAAAUGAGCUGUGAAGGGAGACUGAAACAUUUAAGAGAUUUCAGUCCAUGGAUACUUGGCUCUGUUGCUUUUGGCCAUGAAGAGGAGAGCAGCAUAGCAGGGGGCCUGCGGUGGAGCAGAGCUGCUCAUCUCAUGGUGGAAGGAAGCACGGAGAGCAAGGCAGCCAGAGCAAGGGGCAGGGUGAGAGGUAGUCCCAGAGCCAACACCCCCACAACCCACUCCUUCAGCUGGGCGCCAUCUCCCACUUUCCACAGCCUCCAUAAUGACGUUGUUAGGAAUCCAUCCGGGGAUUAAACUGCUGAUGACGCUGGAAUCCUCAUGAUCCAAUCACCUUCCAGAAGCCCUGACUCUGCUCCCGUGAGCCUUUCCAGUACAUUUCAGAACCAACCCACAGGGGAUGGCUUUGGGGUGGAGAUUUAAGGACCUGUGUGUGCUCUCCCACCUCGCUCCCCCUGGUGUAAUAACACCGAAGCUGCAUGCGUGGCUGGGUCACCACAGGGAGGACAGUUAUUCUAUCAAUUUUGCAUGUGUGUGAAUAAAUGUUUGCACUAUUAUAACCAUGAAA